This 253-nucleotide ribosomal RNA is filed under the name uncultured bacterium. RNAcentral describes it as "partial 16S ribosomal RNA". It matches the Rfam family "Bacterial small subunit ribosomal RNA", at positions 524 to 776 of the family's 1533-position model. The record is from RNAcentral.
UACAGAGGGUGCGAGCGUUGUCCGGAAUCACUGGGCGUAAAGGGCGCGUAGGUGGCGACCCAAGUCAAUGGUGAAAGCUCGAUGCUCAACAUCGAGUCGGCCACUGAUACUGGGUUGCUCGAGCACUGUAGAGGCAGAUGGAAUUCCGGGUGUAGCGGUGGAAUGCGUAGAGAUCCGGAAGAACACCGGUGGCGAAGGCGGGUCUCUGGGCCGAUACUGACGCUGAGGAGCGAAAGCGUGGGGAGCGAACAGG